GGGGUUGUUUGUUAGUGUUGUAAAAUCUGUUGAGGAUAGCGAGGAAGUGACUCUGAGAAUCAAUACUCUCCCCAUUUGACUUGGUACAGCCCUUAAGAAAGCUUAAAUUAGAGGAUAUUAUACUCAGCUGUCGACAUUUUUGAAGAGUCCGAGCAACAUAUUCGUAGAGUGUGCAGUUUGUCAAGUGGAUCAUAAAAGCUGUUUCUACAUGUUUUUUUUUGGGGGACGAAAGCUGUUUCUACAUGGUUUGUGACAGUUUUAUAUAAUUCCUUGCUUUGGAUAUGAGAUGAUGUGUGAAUCUAUUUUAGGUCAAAAACAUCUUUGUAACUUCACUCACCACAAAAAUUUGACUGCUGCAUGGCCACAGCUUCUCUCUAUUAUUGUUGCCUUUUGUGUUAUGACCCUGUGGAGAAACUAUGGUUGAUUGUAAUUGUAUUUAAUCUCAGACGAAAACUCUUAGCGCCCAGCGAAAAUGCCCGUGGAAUAAAUCUGAAUUUUUUAGCUAUACUUGGUUAGA
Molecule: long non-coding RNA, 517 nt
Organism: Capsicum annuum
Lineage: Eukaryota; Viridiplantae; Streptophyta; Magnoliopsida; Solanales; Solanaceae
Exons: 2
Source: RefSeq, a predicted model, not a curated record